Molecule: transfer RNA, 83 nt
Filed under: Bacillota bacterium
Lineage: Bacteria; Bacillati; Bacillota
Also listed under: 1 other name
Description: tRNA-Leu
Rfam family: tRNA
About the family: Transfer RNA (tRNA) molecules are approximately 80 nucleotides in length.
Source: RNAcentral
GCAGAUGUGGUGGAAUUGGCAGACACGCCAGAUUUAGGUUCUGGUGCGCAAGCGUAUGAGUUCAAGUCUCUUCAUCUGCACCA